This 343-nucleotide unclassified non-coding RNA is filed under the name soil metagenome. RNAcentral describes it as "partial contains 5.8S ribosomal RNA, internal transcribed spacer 2, and large subunit ribosomal RNA". The stretch from base 1 to 120 matches the Rfam family "5.8S ribosomal RNA", at positions 35 to 154 of the family's 154-position model. The record is from RNAcentral.
GACGAAGAACGUAGCGAAACGCGAUAAGUAAUGUGAAUUGCAGAAUCCAGUGAAUCAUCGAAUCUUUGAACGCACAUUGCGCCCGCCAGCAUUCUGGCGGGCAUGCCUGUUCGAGCGUCAUUUCAACCCUCGACCUCCCCUUGGGGAGGUCGGCGUUGGGGACCGGCAGCACACCGCCGGCCCUGAAAUGGAGUGGCGGCCCGUCCGCGGCGACCUCUGCGCAGUAAUACAGCUCGCACCGGGACCCCGACGCGGCCACGCCGUAAAACACCCAACUUCUGAACGUUGACCUCGAAUCAGGUAGGACUACCCGCUGAACUUAAGCAUAUCAAUAAGCGGAGGA